Molecule: long non-coding RNA, 429 nt
Organism: Parus major (Great Tit)
Lineage: Eukaryota; Metazoa; Chordata; Aves; Passeriformes; Paridae
Exons: 3
Source: RefSeq, a predicted model, not a curated record
UAAUAAUAUACAAAAAAUGCACAAAUGUUAACCUCAUAAUUUCCUCAUAUGCCGGUAUUUUUCCUUCCAGGAAACUUGUUCCCCUUCUUUAUGUGAAGAUGGAGUCCCUAGGGCUGUUUCGCCUUUUCCUGCUGUGAUGAAAACAGGGAGAGAUCUGCCAAAUCAGUACUGUAAAUCUCCAAGAGACCCUUCUCAAGAACAUUGCCAGCUGGGAUUGGAUAGGUGGGAUUAUGACAAUUUUGCAACAGCUCUGUUUCUGAUGAAGAAAAGUUCUCCCCUUUUGGUGGCCUGUAAGCACUACCUGAUCCUCUCACCUGAUGUUCAGCUUGUGCAUUUGUAACUGCUUUUCAGUGGUCAUAAAUCCUUUAUUAGAUAGUCAUUUAUAUACAGCUUAUAAAAAUAAGUAACAAAUGAAAUCAAAUAAAUGAA